This 257-nucleotide unclassified non-coding RNA is filed under the name plant metagenome. RNAcentral's name for it is "partial contains small subunit ribosomal RNA and internal transcribed spacer 1". The stretch from base 1 to 46 matches the Rfam family "Eukaryotic small subunit ribosomal RNA", at positions 1786 to 1831 of the family's 1831-position model. The record is from RNAcentral.
AAGUCGUAACAAGGUUUCCGUAGGUGAACCUGCGGAAGGAUCAUUAUUGAAUUGUGAAGUGGGGCUUGAUGGCUGGCCUUGUCCAUCCUUUGGCUGCCAUGUGCUCGCCCCAGCAAUCCUUUUCCAAACACCUGUGCCCUUCCUUGUGAGAAUGGGGAGAGAAAGGGCUUGCCUUUUUUUAUCUCGCCUCAUGAUCAUAAACGCUGUUUUGUAAUGUUGAAAUGCAUUUAUGCCGUCAAGGCUUUAACCUAAUACAA